ACGGAAGGCAGCAGUGGGGAAUAUUGGGCAAUGGGGGAAACCCUGACCCAGCAACGCCGCGUGAAGGAAGAAGGCCUUCGGGUUGUAAACUUCUUUUACCAGGGACGAUAAUGACGGUACCCGGAGAAAAAGCAACGGCUAACUACGUGCCAGCAGCCGCGGUAAUACGUAGGUUGCAAGCGUUGUCCGGAUUUACUGGGUGUAAAGGGCGUGUAGGCGGAGCUGCAAGUCAGAUGUGAAAUCCCGGGGCUCAACCCCGGAACUGCAUUUGAAGCUGUAGCCCUUGAGUAUCGGAGAGGCAAGCGGAAUUCCUAGUGUAGCGGUGAAAUGCGUAGAUAUUAGGAGGAACACCAGUGGCGAAGGCGGCUUGCUGGACGACAACUGACGCUGAGGCGCGAAAGCGUGGGGAGCAAACAGGAUUAGAUACCCUGGUA
This 434-nucleotide ribosomal RNA is filed under the name uncultured Oscillospiraceae bacterium. RNAcentral's name for it is "partial 16S ribosomal RNA". It matches the Rfam family "Bacterial small subunit ribosomal RNA", at positions 341 to 792 of the family's 1533-position model. The record is from RNAcentral. Lineage: Bacteria; Bacillati; Bacillota; Clostridia; Eubacteriales; Oscillospiraceae.